AUUGAACGCUGGCGGCAUGCCUUACACAUGCAAGUCGAACGGCUGCACGGGAGCAAUCCUGGUGGCGAGUGGCGAACGGGUGAGUAAUAUAUCGGAACGUGCCCAGUCGUGGGGGAUAACGUAGCGAAAGCUACGCUAAUACCGCAUACGAUCUAUGGAUGAAAGCGGGGGAUCGCAAGACCUCGCGCGAUUGGAGCGGCCGAUAUCAGAUUAGGUAGUUGGUGAGGUAAAGGCUCACCCAGCCGACGAUCUGUAGCUGGUCUGAGAGGACGACCAGCCGGACUGGGGCUGUGACACGGCCAAGACGCCUACGGGGGGCAGCAGUGGGGAAUUUUGGACAAUGGGCGCAAGCCUGAUCCAGCAAUGCCGCGUGCAGGAUGAAGGCCUUCGGGUUGUAAACUGCUUUUGUACGGAACGAAACGGUGAGCUCUAAUACAGUUUGCUAAUGACGGUACCGUAAGAAUAAGCACCGGCUAACUACGUGCCAGCAGCCGCCGUAA
Molecule: ribosomal RNA, 500 nt
Filed under: uncultured bacterium
Lineage: Bacteria
Description: partial 16S ribosomal RNA
Rfam family: Bacterial small subunit ribosomal RNA
Source: RNAcentral